RNAcentral lists this ribosomal RNA (700 nucleotides) under uncultured Burkholderiales bacterium. RNAcentral describes it as "bacterial SSU rRNA". It matches the Rfam family "Bacterial small subunit ribosomal RNA", at positions 63 to 758 of the family's 1533-position model. Lineage: Bacteria; Pseudomonadati; Pseudomonadota; Betaproteobacteria; Burkholderiales. The record is from RNAcentral.
CGAACGGCAGCACGGGAGCAAUCCUGGUGGCGAGUGGCGAACGGGUGAGUAAUACAUCGGAACGUGCCCAGUAGUGGGGGAUAGCCCGGCGAAAGCCGGAUUAAUACCGCAUACGACCUACGGGUGAAAGUGGGGGAUCGCAAGACCUCACGCUAUUGGAGCGGCCGAUGUCAGAUUAGGUUGUUGGUGGGGUAAAGGCCUACCAAGCCGACGAUCUGUAGCUGGUCUGAGAGGACGACCAGCCACACUGGGACUGAGACACGGCCCAGACUCCUACGGGAGGCAGCAGUGGGGAAUUUUGGACAAUGGGCGCAAGCCUGAUCCAGCCAUGCCGCGUGCGGGAAGAAGGCCUUCGGGUUGUAAACCGCUUUUGUCAGGGAAGAAACGGUCUGCGUUAAUACCACGGACUAAUGACGGUACCUGAAGAAUAAGCACCGGCUAACUACGUGCCAGCAGCCGCGGUAAUACGUAGGGUGCAAGCGUUAAUCGGAAUUACUGGGCGUAAAGCGUGCGCAGGCGGCUUUGCAAGACAGAUGUGAAAUCCCCGGGCUCAACCUGGGAACUGCAUUUGUGACUGCAAGGCUGGAGUACGGUAGAGGGGGAUGGAAUUCCGCGUGUAGCAGUGAAAUGCGUAGAUAUGCGGAGGAACACCGAUGGCGAAGGCAAUCCCCUGGACCUGUACUGACGCUCAUGCACGAAA